UACGUAGGCAGCGAGCGUUGUCCGGAAUUAUUGGGCGUAAAGAGCUUGUAGGCGGUUUGUCGCGUCUGCCGUGAAAAUCCGGGGCUCAACCCCGGACUUGCAGUGGGUACGGGCAGACUAGAGUGUGGUAGGGGAGACUGGAAUUCCUGGUGUAGCGGUGGAAUGCGCAGAUAUCAGGAGGAACACCGAUGGCGAAGGCAGGUCUCUGGGCCACUACUGACGCUGAGAAGCGAAAGCAUGGGGAGCGAACAGG
RNAcentral lists this ribosomal RNA (253 nucleotides) under uncultured bacterium. RNAcentral describes it as "partial 16S ribosomal RNA". It matches the Rfam family "Bacterial small subunit ribosomal RNA", at positions 524 to 776 of the family's 1533-position model. The record is from RNAcentral.